Molecule: ribosomal RNA, 253 nt
Filed under: uncultured bacterium
Lineage: Bacteria
Description: partial 16S ribosomal RNA
Rfam family: Bacterial small subunit ribosomal RNA
Source: RNAcentral
UACGAGAGGCCCAAACGUUAUUCGGAAUUACUGGGCUUAAAGAGUUCGUAGGCGGCGCAGCAAGUAGGGUGUGAAAGCCCUCGGCUCAACCGAGGAAUUGCGCUCUAAACUGCUGUGCUCGAGGGACCUAGAGGUGAGCGGAACUGAUGGUGGAGCGGUGAAAUGCGUUGAUAUCAUCAGGAACACCGGAGGCGAAGGCGGCUCACUGGGAGUCUUCUGACGCUGAGGAACGAAAGCCAGGGGAGCGAACGGG